This 413-nucleotide ribosomal RNA is filed under the name uncultured bacterium. RNAcentral describes it as "bacterial SSU rRNA". It matches the Rfam family "Bacterial small subunit ribosomal RNA", at positions 398 to 805 of the family's 1533-position model. The record is from RNAcentral.
CGCGUGAGUGAAGAAGGCUUCGGGUUGUAAAGCUCUUUCGGCAGGAACGAAACGGUCGUCUCUAACAUAGGCGGCUAAUGACGGUACCUGAAGAAGAAGCACCGGCUAACUACGUGCCAGCAGCCGCGGUAAUACGUAGGGUGCGAGCGUUAAUCGGAAUUACUGGGCGUAAAGCGUGCGCAGGCGGUUAUGUAAGACAGGUGUGAAAUCCCCGGGCUCAACCUGGGAACUGCGCUUGUGACUGCAUAACUCGAGUGUGGCAGAGGGGGGUGGAAUUCCACGUGUAGCAGUGAAAUGCGUAGAGAUGUGGAGGAACACCGAUGGCGAAGCAGCCCCCUGGGUCAACACUGACGCUCAUGCACGAAAGCGUGGGGAGCAAACAGGAUUAGAUACCCUGGUAGUCCACGCCCUAA